UGAUGGUCUAGUGGUUAAGAUUCAGUGCUCUCAUCACUGUGGCCUGGGUUCAUUUCCUGGUCA
Molecule: transfer RNA, 63 nt
Filed under: Equus caballus (horse)
Lineage: Eukaryota; Metazoa; Chordata; Mammalia; Perissodactyla; Equidae
Rfam family: tRNA
About the family: Transfer RNA (tRNA) molecules are approximately 80 nucleotides in length. Their secondary structure includes four short double-helical elements and three loops (D, anti-codon, and T loops).
Source: Rfam by way of RNAcentral